RNAcentral lists this long non-coding RNA (2672 nucleotides) under Oreochromis niloticus (Nile tilapia). Its description in RNAcentral is "lncRNA (ENSONIG00000024443.2)". The record is from RNAcentral. Lineage: Eukaryota; Metazoa; Chordata; Actinopteri; Cichliformes; Cichlidae.
AGACAUGGCACAAACACAUGAGUCAUGGAAAAAAUUCUUUGUGUGGGAAGCAGGAAAAACAAAUGGGGCCCAACUUCCAGUUGUUCAAAUGCUCAAAAGUAUUGGACAAACAGACGUGACCUCUGCAACGGAAUGUGACUACCUUCUAGUCUUCUGUCCUGUUGUUUCACGAGUUGGAACGGACAUCGGCGAGGCCCUGCACAACAUAACUCCUGGCAAACCAGUAAUACUGGUAGUGAUGCAUCACACCUUCAAUCCUCACCAUGUUGUAGCUGAAAGCCGGAGGCAGGUGGACAACCCAAAUGUCCACCUAACUGUGGACUGUCUGUUUCAUGAAGGCCGUCUCCUCAAUUGCAACCUCAAUGAUACCAUGUCGAGUGACAUCAAAAGAUUUUUUGGUUCUGAAUCCCCAGCUCCAGCCUUAAUUCACAACUUGAUGUCUUUGUGGCAACGCAUCCCAAGUUUCUUUUUAGGUUUCUUCAUCUGGAAAAUAUUUGGACUUUGUUGCUCCAGUAUUUGGAAUUUAUUCGUGUGUUUAGGUAGCCCCAUCUGGAAAAAAAUCAGACCUUGCUUGAAUCCUCUGGUACAUAUGGCUGGAUUGAUUGUUUCUUUGCUGAUGGCAGUUGUGACAUCAUUCAGCUCCAAAAUAUGGAAGAGAAAUAAAAGCGGGAAAUGAGGACUGCAAAACAAAAUCCAAAUGCAAUAAUUUAACAAUAUCACAGUAUGUUUUCUUGAUACUGUAUCUAAAACAAAAUAUAAGUAAUAUAUCCUGCCUUUGUAAUCAUUAAAGAUGUGUUAGUUAUGUGUUAUUGUUAUGAAAGCUGGUAUAGAUGUUUUAGGGAUGAAUCUUUUGAUCAUUGGUACUGUAGCAUGUUAAAGAUGAAAUGUUGCUUUACUCACAUGUCCAAGGCAAGACUGAAAAGUGAGCUUUAAGAAAACAGAACCAUUUCUUUCCCAGUUAUUGCAGACAUGCUUAUAUAUUUUAAAAUAAUGAAUUUAUUGAGAGGAUAUCUUGGUGUCAUUUGUUGCUUUUGUUCAUUCUGAAUUCAAAGACAUUCUUUAUUAAGUGACAUUAAAAACUGUUUCUGAUUUAGGGUUAGACGUUUGUUAUGAUUUAAUGUUGUCAGUGUUUUGUUUUAUGUCAUGUUUAAGGAUUUGUUCUUGGUUGUAUCGCACGUUUAGUUCAGGUUCCAUGUAUCAUUCUGUCUCUCAGUGUCAGGUCUGCGUUUUGGUGUAGUGUUUUCGUUUCCUGUUUUAUUGUGAAGGUCUGCGUCUCAUGUGAGUGUGUUCAGUUUUACCUCUGUCUCGUCUUGUUGAUUAUUCCCAGCUGUGUUCCCCACCUGUGUGUAAUCUCCCUGUGUUUCCCUGUGUGCAUUUAAGUCGCGUCCUCUGUCUUUGUAGUUUGGCUGGUCCGUCUGUGUAUCCACCAUGUCUCAUCCGUAUGUUUCCCUGCUGCCCAACCGUCAUCUGUUUUCUGCUGGCUGUUAUUCGUGUUCAGGUUUGUGUUUCUGUUCAGGGUCAGUAGUUUAGUUUUCCCAGUAUAGUUUAGUUCUCCGUUUACCAUUUUGUCCAUCUCUUUUGUUGUGCUUGCCUUAGCGGCACCAGCCAUUUUUAGCCAACCUGAUUGUCCAUUUUAAUAUAAAACCUCUUCUCACCCACAAUCUGGUAUUCAUCUUCUUUUAUGUUGCGGCUAUGAGCCGGGUCGUAACACGUUACAGCUGUAACAAAUUGCGAAAUUGCAUUUUCGCUUAAAAUCUUGAAUUAAAAUGUACACACAAUGAGAAUGUUAAGCGUGGAACACAAUAAAACCAGAGACUGCCCCGCCCCUGACCCCCUUUUUUUUUUUUAAUAAAUAUUGAGAAAUGAACUUAAAAGAGCAUAUUAGUGUGUGGUUCAACUUUAUGCAAUUUAACUUUCUGAAAAGAAAGAAAACAAGAGCCAUAUUGAGAAAUCUCUGCUGAUAAUGAUCCACACCCUUUUUCACACCUUGGCUCAUGUGAUGAGGCACAUGGUCAACAGUGGGUCAACGUCCCUCUUAAGAGACAACUCCAACUAGGGCUUAAUACCUGGGACUCUCCAGCAUUUGGUCUUAGAACUGAAGAAGCUUCUCAGAUGAGAGUUGAAGCAUCUUCAAGAAACUUGAAGUCCAGCAUGAAACACAUGCAGACAGACGCACACAUCGCAUACAAAAUUGUAACUCUCACCCUGUGUCCCUGAUGUGCAAUUGCACCAAGUGCAAUUUUCCCUAUGUAACAAAGUAUUUUAUUCUAUUUGUAUUGUAUAUAGUAUUAUUUCUAUUUUGUAUAGUAUGUUAUUCUGUUUAUCUUAUUCUAUUCUAUAGUUUUUUCUCUUUUUCUCUUAUUUUUGUUACUGCUCUUGUACUUCCUGCCGUGACCAAAAAUGUCCCACGUGUGGGACUAAUAAAGAUUUAUCUUAUCUUAAAGUCCAGGUGCUUUCCUUUUAAGCUCCUUAGAUUAAUUUUGAUGCUAUGCGUUGACAUGUGUCAGCUUGAAGUAGAUAGGAAAGGUAAUAGAUAAUUCAUUAAUAGACAAAGAACAUAAUAACUGCCGACCGUACCUGCUAUAUUCAUUUCAGUCUGUUGAAUGUUCAACAAAAGCCUCAUAGUCAUUCAUAGUUGCCUUAUAUAAAAAUGGUUUAUAUAGUUGUUUCAC